This 253-nucleotide ribosomal RNA is filed under the name uncultured bacterium. Its description in RNAcentral is "partial 16S ribosomal RNA". It matches the Rfam family "Bacterial small subunit ribosomal RNA", at positions 524 to 776 of the family's 1533-position model. The record is from RNAcentral.
UACGGAGGGGGCUAGCGUUGUUCGGAAUAACUGGGCGUAAAGCGCGCGUAGGCGGAUUGGAAAGUUGGGGGUGAAAUCCCGGGGCUCAACCUCGGAACUGCCUUCAAAACUCCCAGUCUUGAGUUCGAGAGAGGUGAGUGGAAUUCCGAGUGUAGAGGUGAAAUUCGUAGAUAUUCGGAGGAACACCAGUGGCGAAGGCGGCUCACUGGCUCGAUACUGACGCUGAGGUGAGAAAGCGUGGGGAGCAAACAGG